This 430-nucleotide unclassified non-coding RNA is filed under the name soil metagenome. Its description in RNAcentral is "partial contains 5.8S ribosomal RNA, internal transcribed spacer 2, and large subunit ribosomal RNA". The stretch from base 1 to 120 matches the Rfam family "5.8S ribosomal RNA", at positions 35 to 154 of the family's 154-position model. The record is from RNAcentral.
GAUGAAGAACGCAGCGAAAUGCGAUACGUAAUGUGAAUUGCAGAAUUCAGUGAAUCAUCGAAUCUUUGAACGCAUAUUGCGCUCUCUGGUAUUCCGGAGAGCAUGCUUGUUUGAGUAUCAGUAAACACCUCAACUCCCUUUUCUUUUUUGAAAUUGGAGCUGGACUUGAGUGAUCCCAACGCUUUCUUCCAAGAAAGUGGCGGGUUGCUUGAAAUGCAGGUGCAGCUGAACUUUUCUCUGAGCUAUAAGCAUAUCUAUUUAGUCUGCCUAAAAAACAGAUUAUUACCUUUGCUGCAGCUAACAUAAAGGAGACUAGUUCUUGUGCUGACUGAUGCAGGAUUCACAGAGACAGCUUCGGCUGACUUUGUAAACUCGAUCGCAAAUCAAGUAAGACUACCCGCUGAACUUAAGCAUAUCAAUAAGCGGAGGA